UACGUAGGGGGCAAGCGUUGUCCGGAAUCAUUGGGCGUAAAGAGCUCGUAGGCGGUUCAGUAAGUCAGGUGUGAAAUCUUUGGGCUUAACCCAAAGCGUGCACUUGAUACUGCUGUGACUUGAGUUCGGUAGGGGAGUGGGGAAUUCCUAGUGUAGCGGUGAAAUGCGCAGAUAUUAGGAGGAACACCGGUGGCGAAGGCGCCACUCUGGGCCGAAACUGACGCUGAGGAGCGAAAGCGUGGGUAGCAAACAGG
RNAcentral lists this ribosomal RNA (254 nucleotides) under uncultured bacterium. Its description in RNAcentral is "partial 16S ribosomal RNA". It matches the Rfam family "Bacterial small subunit ribosomal RNA", at positions 524 to 776 of the family's 1533-position model. The record is from RNAcentral.